CGGGGCGCGUAGCAUAAAGGUCAUGCAGCGGACUCCGGCCCCGCGCCCCCUCGAAAGGACGAAUGCCCGUUCGAGUCGGGCCGCCCCUG
This 89-nucleotide transfer RNA is filed under the name Acidobacteriota bacterium. Its description in RNAcentral is "tRNA-Ser". The record is from RNAcentral. Lineage: Bacteria; Pseudomonadati; Acidobacteriota.